Molecule: long non-coding RNA, 1107 nt
Filed under: Homo sapiens (human)
Lineage: Eukaryota; Metazoa; Chordata; Mammalia; Primates; Hominidae
Description: HSALNT0398553
Source: RNAcentral
GCCUGACCCUUCUCGCGGGAGCUGCUGGGAUGCGCAGCCGCAUAAGAGAGCGCGCGGGUCUCCAGAGCCUGAGCUAGUCAGAAGCAACAGUUGCUACUGCGUCCCCCGGACAUUGGGAGAAUCGUUUUCCUUGGGCAGCUGGUUCCAGACCCCCACCAGUCCUCUAGACUCCAGGCCAAUCAGUUGCUAAGGGACGUUCCUCUCUCAACCUGCACUUAUCAACAUUUUAAGCUAUAAAUUCGUCUGCAUUUCUUCAUCGUCUGUCUAUGUAGACCAUGACUCCACGGAGGCAGGGGUCUGGAGUGCAGUGGCAUGAACAUGGCUCACUGCAGCCUCGACUUUCCAGGCUCAAGUGAUCCUCCCACCUCAGCCUCCAGAGUAGCUGGGACUAUAAGCACAAGCCACCAGGUCCAGCUAAUGAAAAAAUUUUUUUUGUAGAGACAGAGUCUCACUAUGUUACCCAGGCUGGUCUCGAACUCCUGGGCUCAAGCAGUCUUCUCACCUCAGCCUCCCAAAGUGCUGGGAUUGCAGCCGUGAACCAACACACUCAGCCUGGGACCACUCUUGACCACCCCUAAUCCCUUCCCAGAGUUCUGGAACCAGCCCUGUCCUUUCCUAUUCCAUAUUUCGGCAUGUUUUAACAGACCUCUCUGAGUGGUCUGUGCUCCCAACCCUUAGCCUCCAGACUGAUUGCCCUUUUUCCUUCUCACAUAAAAAAGAUAUCGCCCAAGUUUCCAGGUCGUUAAAUGCCUCUCUCAUUCACGCCACAUAUCCACUUUCUUUUUGCAUUGUCAAUUUUUUUUUCCUUCCCCUUUCUUCUGUUUAAAAGCCCAUGUUAGAUGGUCGGAAUGAGCCUUGUCUAGGUCCUGGGCCAGGAUUUGCCAGUAAAGCACUGAAUAACUGUGGUCAAGUAUUUUCCCUCUUCUUAUUUCCUCAUGUGUAACAUGAGUGGGUUUUACUGCUGGAGAUGUAAUGAUCCAUUUAAGUACAAAAUUCUGAUUUCUUCUUUCUUCUCUCCAUCAGUUUUAGAGCAUACAUGUGAUGACUCGUCAUGCACCCAUUAUAUUUUCUUUUUCUUUUCUUUUCUUUUUUUUUUUUUGAGACAGA